CGCUUGCGGGGUGGAUCAGUGGCGAACGGGUGAGUAACACGUGAGCAACCUGCCCCUGACUCUGGGAUAAGCGCUGGAAACGGCGUCUAAUACUGGAUACGAGACGUGAUCGCAUGGUCAACGUUUGGAAAGAUUUUUCGGUUGGGGAUGGGCUCGCGGCCUAUCAGCUUGUUGGUGAGGUAAUGGCUCACCAAGGCGUCGACGGGUAGCCGGCCUGAGAGGGUGACCGGCCACACUGGGACUGAGACACGGCCCAGACUCCUACGGGAGGCAGCAGUGGGGAAUAUUGCACAAUGGGCGCAAGCCUGAUGCAGCAACGCCGCGUGGGGGAUGACGGCCUUCGGGUUGUAAACCUCUUUUAGCAGGGAAGAAGCGAGAGUGACGGUACCUGCAGAAAAAGCACCGGCUAACUACGUGCCAGCAGCCGCGGUAAUACGUAGGGUGCAAGCGUUAUCCGGAAUUAUUGGGCGUAAAGAGCUCGUAGGCGGUUUGUCGCGUCUGCUGUGAAAUCUGGGGGCUCAACCCCCAGCCUGCAGUGGGUACGGGCAGACUAGAGUGCGGUAGGGGAGAUUGGAAUUCCUGGUGUAGCGGUGGAAUGCGCAGAUAUCAGGAGGAACACCGAUGGCGAAGGCAGAUCUCUGGGCCGUAACUGACGCUGAGGAGCGAAAGGGUGGGGAGCAAACAGGCUUAGAUACCCUGGUAGUCCACCCCGUAAACGUUGGGAACUAGUUGUGGGGUCCAUUCCACGGAUUCCGUGACGCAGCUAACGCAUUAAGUUCCCCGCCUGGGGAGUACGGCCGCAAGGCUAAAACUCAAAGGAAUUGACGGGGACCCGCACAAGCGGCGGAGCAUGCGGAUUAAUUCGAUGCAACGCGAAGAACCUUACCAAGGCUUGACAUAUACGAGAACGGGCCAGAAAUGGUCAACUCUUUGGACACUCGUAAACAGGUGGUGCAUGGUUGUCGUCAGCUCGUGUCGUGAGAUGUUGGGUUAAGUCCCGCAACGAGCGCAACCCUCGUUCUAUGUUGCCAGCACGUAAUGGUGGGAACUCAUGGGAUACUGCCGGGGUCAACUCGGAGGAAGGUGGGGAUGACGUCAAAUCAUCAUGCCCCUUAUGUCUUGGGCUUCACGCAUGCUACAAUGGCCGGUACAAUGGGCUGCAAUACCGUGAGGUGGAGCGAAUCCCAAAAAGCCGGUCCCAGUUCGGAUUGAGGUCUGCAACUCGACCUCAUGAAGUCGGAGUCGCUAGUAAUCGCAGAUCAGCAACGCUGCGGUGAAUACGUUCCCGGGUCUUGUACACACCGCCCGUCAAGUCAUGAAAGUCGGUAACACCUGAAGCCGGUGGCCUAACCCCUUGUGGAAGGAACC
This 1368-nucleotide ribosomal RNA is filed under the name Microbacterium sp. SR10-S-4. RNAcentral's name for it is "bacterial SSU rRNA". It matches the Rfam family "Bacterial small subunit ribosomal RNA", at positions 77 to 1454 of the family's 1533-position model. The record is from RNAcentral. Lineage: Bacteria; Bacillati; Actinomycetota; Actinomycetes; Micrococcales; Microbacteriaceae.